Molecule: transfer RNA, 70 nt
Filed under: Anomaloglossus sp. 'Acari'
Lineage: Eukaryota; Metazoa; Chordata; Amphibia; Anura; Aromobatidae
Description: tRNA-Val
Rfam family: tRNA
About the family: Transfer RNA (tRNA) molecules are approximately 80 nucleotides in length. Their secondary structure includes four short double-helical elements and three loops (D, anti-codon, and T loops).
Source: RNAcentral
CAGAAUAUAACUUAAUCUAAAGUAUCUCGCUUACACCGAAACUAUAUUUGUGUGAAUCAAAUUAUUCUGA